RNAcentral lists this ribosomal RNA (551 nucleotides) under uncultured bacterium. Its description in RNAcentral is "bacterial SSU rRNA". It matches the Rfam family "Bacterial small subunit ribosomal RNA", at positions 777 to 1329 of the family's 1533-position model. The record is from RNAcentral.
AAUAGAUACCCGGGUAGUCCACGCCCUAAACUAUGUCGACUAGUUGUCGGGGAAGAAAUUCCUUGGUAACGCAGCUAACGCGUGAAGUUGACCGCCUGGGGAGUACGGCCGCAAGGUUAAAACUCAAAGGAAUUGACGGGGACCCGCACAAGCGGUGGAUUAUGUGGAUUAAUUCGAUGCAACGCGAAAAACCUUACCUACCCUUGACAUGUACGGAAUUCCGCAGAGAUGUGGAAGUGCCCGAAAGGGAACCGUAACACAGGUGCUGCAUGGCUGUCGUCAGCUCGUGUCGUGAGAUGUUGGGUUAAGUCCCGCAACGAGCGCAACCCUUGCCAUUAGUUGCUACAUUCAGUUGGGCACUCUAAUGGGACCGCCGGUGACAAACCGGAGGAAGGUGGGGAUGACGUCAAGUCCUCAUGGCCCUUAUGGGUAGGGCUUCACACGUAAUACAAUGGUCGGUACAGAGGGCUGCCAACCCGCAAGGGGGAGCUAAUCCCAGAAAGCCGAUCGUAGUCCGGAUUGUAGUCUGCAACUCGACUGCAUGAAGCCGG